Non-coding RNA from Punica granatum (pomegranate), 1350 nucleotides. NCBI's taxonomy places the organism in Eukaryota, Viridiplantae, Streptophyta, Magnoliopsida, Myrtales, Lythraceae. The record is from RefSeq and is a predicted model, not a curated record.
AUUUUGAAUUUGCUGGCGAUUGGCAAUAUUUAAGAUGUUGAAUCUGCUGCAAUAUUCACAGCUUCACUGUAAGACGAUAAAUGAUAUUGCAAUGAAAUUACAAAAGGUGAAGAACUUACUGGUAAUUCUUUCGGCGUGAAACCUCAGUGUGGUCUUCUCUUAUUAUUGCAGCAGCUUCAAGAUUGCCGCGCAGGCAAGUAUAAGCUCAGCUUCUCCGGUUUUGUUGUUUAAAUAGGGAAGGAAAAUGCACAUGUCAAUAUUUAUAAGGGGAUGAAAGAGAUGAGGCGGCAAGGACAGGCAGAAAUUCAAAUUCAAUGUUAAGGAAAUUCUUGUUUUAUAAUUUUGCUUAGACAAAAUUGACAAUUUGAUCCCUAAAAUAUACACCUCCUCACGACGAGUUCGUCCCUGAAAUUUAUUUUGUGUACUAAUUGGUCCAGACGUUGCGAACGUUAGGACGAAUUGGUCCUUCCGUUCGAAAAAAUGAGAGGUCCCUGACGGAGAUUGCCUCUGGACGCUGUUAAUUGCAGUGUUGAUCGUCCCCUCAAGUGAAAAGGCUUCCCGCCCCUAAUUGCUCCAAAUUGUUGUUUGAUCAAACCCUAAUUGAGCUUGUUGCUUCCACUGCAAUCAUCAAAUCCACCCAGACGCCUCAAGAUUUCUGCAAUUAAGAGUGUCGCCCGUGAUCUUCCGAAGUUGCAAUCAUAGUUCUUGGUCUUUUUCCGGUGAGCAGCACCUGGGAUCAACCGCUGCGGGAGUUGGCUCGCGCUCGAAGGUUGUUCUGCUGCGUUGCACAUGGGCAGGAGAUGUGAGGUUGCAGUUAUAUGUCAUGACGUGAAGCUGCUGAAGGAGAGAUUCAACUCGGGUGUUUCUCUCAGCAAGUCUAUUUCCUUUGGGCAAACAAGUUGCAUCUUAGCAUCCUCGAGCUCGUCCAUCAAUAGCAGUGCAUCCUCAGAUUGAAUUCCUGAUGAUAGAGAGACCUGCAAAGCUCCAAAUGAUAGUAGCCUGGAAUCGUCAAUUGAUGGUUCAUCCUCACGAAAGGAAUCUGAAGACAAGAACAUCGCUGGAGCAGAGCAAAAAGAGCUGUCGGAUGAAGGGUGGGAGCUCUAUGAGAAUUGAUGGAAGUUGAUUGCAGGCAAUGAAAUGAAAGACGGGAAUUUGUUAAUAAUCGUUUACGGUUCGGUUUGGUAGAGUACGAAUUGGCAUUUUGUACAGAGAAUAGAUCCAGAAUAAUUGACUGAGUCUUGCGUUCUGUUUCCUUUUGCGGGUGGUUGCUGCUGUUUAACUGAUACUACAUUGAUGGAAAUGUUCUUUGACUAUCUAUAUACAUAUAGGCUGCAUGUUUAUUUUUUGCUA